Molecule: ribosomal RNA, 456 nt
Filed under: uncultured bacterium
Lineage: Bacteria
Description: bacterial SSU rRNA
Rfam family: Bacterial small subunit ribosomal RNA
Source: RNAcentral
GCACAAGCGGUGGAGCAUGUGGUUUAAUUCGACGCAACGCGAAGAACCUUACCUGGGCUCGAAAUGUACAGGAAUCCGGUAGAAAUAUCGGCGUCCCGCAAGGGACCUGUAUAUAGGUGCUGCAUGGCUGUCGUCAGCUCGUGUCGUGAGAUGUUGGGUUAAGUCCCGCAACGAGCGCAACCCUUAUCUCCAGUUGCUACCAUUUAGUUGAGCACCCUGGCGAAACCGCCUCGGAUAACGGGGAGGAAGGUGGGGAUGACGUCAAGUCCUCAUGGCCUUUAUGUCCAGGGCUACACACGUGCUACAAUGGCCGGUACAAACCGCUGCAAACCCGCGAGGGGGAGCUAAUCGGAAAAAGCCGGCCUCAGUUCGGAUUGCAGUCUGCAACUCGACUGCAUGAAGCUGGAAUCGCUAGUAAUCGCAGAUCAGAAUGCUGCGGUGAAUACGUUCCCGGGC